UAGGGAAUCUUCCGCAAUGGACGAAAGUCUGACGGAGCAACGCCGCGUGAGUGAAGAAGGAUCUCGGUUCGUAAAACUCUGUUGUUAGGGAAGAAAAAAUGUAUAGUAACUAUAUACAAAAGAGACGGUACCUAACCAGAAAGCCACGGCUAACUACGUGCCAGCAGCCGCGGUAAUACGUAGGUGGCAAGCGUUGUCCGGAAUUAUUGGGCGUAAAGCGCGCGCAGGUGGUUUAGAAAGUCUGAUGUGAAAGCCCACGGCUCAACCGUGGAGGGUCAUUGGAAACUAAUAAACUUGAGUGCAGGAGAGAAAAGUGGAAUUCCUAGUGUAGCGGUGAAAUGCGUAGAGAUUAGGAGGAACACCGGUGGCGAAAGCGGCUUUUUGGCCUGCAACUGACACUGAGGCGCGAAAGCGUGGGGAGCAAACAGG
This 429-nucleotide ribosomal RNA is filed under the name Verrucomicrobiota bacterium. Its description in RNAcentral is "Verrucomicrobia bacterium partial 16S ribosomal RNA". It matches the Rfam family "Bacterial small subunit ribosomal RNA", at positions 355 to 776 of the family's 1533-position model. The record is from RNAcentral. Lineage: Bacteria; Pseudomonadati; Verrucomicrobiota.